Molecule: ribosomal RNA, 154 nt
Organism: Protopterus annectens (West African lungfish)
Lineage: Eukaryota; Metazoa; Chordata; Ceratodontiformes; Protopteridae
Product: 5.8S ribosomal RNA
Exons: 1
Source: RefSeq, a predicted model, not a curated record
GACUCUGAGUGGUGGAUCACUCGGCUCAUGCGUGGAUGAAGAACGCAGAUAGCUGUGAGAACUAAUGUGAAUUGAAGGACACAUUGAUCAUCAACACUUUGAACGCACUUUGCAGCCCCAAGGUUACUCACGGGCUAUGCCUGUCUGAGGGUCG